CCUACGGGAGGCAGCAGUGAGGAAUAUUGCGCAAUGGGGGAAACCCUGACGCAGCGACGCCGCGUGGAUGAUGAAGGCCUUUGGGUCGUAAAAUCCUGUCAGAUGGAAAGAAAUGUACAUGUGCUAAUACCACUUGUAUUUGACGGUACCAUCAAAGGAAGCACCGGCUAACUCCGUGCCAGCAGCCGCGGUAAU
This 195-nucleotide ribosomal RNA is filed under the name uncultured bacterium. Its description in RNAcentral is "partial 16S ribosomal RNA". It matches the Rfam family "Bacterial small subunit ribosomal RNA", at positions 338 to 524 of the family's 1533-position model. The record is from RNAcentral.